GUCUCCGCGGGCGGCGGGACGCGGUGGUGGGGCGGCAGGCCGAGCAUGUCGGAGAAGAAGCAGCCGGUGGACCUGGGGCUCCUGGAGGAGGACGACGAGUUUGAGGAGUUCCCGGCCGAAGAUUGGACUGGUUUAGAUGAAGAUGAAGAUGCGCACGUCUGGGAAGACAAUUGGGAUGAUGACAAUGUCGAAGAUGAUUUCUCCAACCAGUUAAGAGCUGAAUUAGAAAAACAUGGAUACAAGAUGGAAACCUCAUAGUUUUUGCUGAAUAUGGAGUGGUUUGACAUUGAACUGUGGAUAGACUAUAUUGAGAAAAGAAGAAAAGGUGGAAAAUGAGAAGAUACACUUAGUUCAUUAUCUGCUUGGAUUUAUUAUUGUUUUGUAUAAAAAAUAAAGUUUUUAAUCUUAGCC
This is a long non-coding RNA of Gavia stellata (red-throated loon), 411 nucleotides long. RefSeq lists it as uncharacterized. The transcript has 3 exons. The record is from RefSeq and is a predicted model, not a curated record. NCBI's taxonomy places the organism in Eukaryota, Metazoa, Chordata, Aves, Gaviiformes, Gaviidae.